UGGAGGCAGCAGUGGGGAAUUUUGGACAAUGGGGGCAACCCUGAUCCAGCCAUGCCGCGUGUGUGAAGAAGGCCUUCGGGUUGUAAAGCACUUUCGGACGGAACGAAAUCGCGCGAUCUAACAAGUCGCGUGGAUGACGGUACCGUAAGAAGAAGCACCGGCUAACUACGUGCCAGCAGCCGCGGUAAUACGUAGGGUGCGAGCGUUAAUCGGAAUUACUGGGCGUAAAGUGUGCGCAGGCGGCCGAGCAAGUCGAGUGUGAAAGCCCCGGGCUUAACUUGGGAAUUGCGCUCGAAACUACUUGGCUGGAGUGUGGCAGAGGAAGGUGGAAUUCCACGUGUAGCGGUGAAAUGCGUAGAGAUGUGGAGGAACACCAAUGGCGAAGGCAGCCUUCUGGGCCAACACUGACGCUCAUGCACGAAAGCGUGGGGAGCAAACAGGAUUAGAUACCCCGGUAGU
This 459-nucleotide ribosomal RNA is filed under the name uncultured bacterium. Its description in RNAcentral is "bacterial SSU rRNA". It matches the Rfam family "Bacterial small subunit ribosomal RNA", at positions 343 to 794 of the family's 1533-position model. The record is from RNAcentral.